AGAGUUUGAUCCUGGCUCAGGAUGAACGCUAGCUACAGGCUUAACACAUGCAAGUCGAGGGGCAGCAUGGUCUUAGCUUGCUAAGGCCGAUGGCGACCGGCGCACGGGUGAGUAACACGUAUCCAACCUGCCGUCUACUCUUGGACAGCCUUCUGAAAGGAAGAUUAAUACAAGAUGGCAUCAUGAGUCCGCAUGUUCACAUGAUUAAAGGUAUUCCGGUAGACGAUGGGGAUGCGUUCCAUUAGAUAGUAGGCGGGGUAACGGCCCACCUAGUCUUCGAUGGAUAGGGGUUCUGAGAGGAAGGUCCCCCACAUUGGAACUGAGACACGGUCCAAACUCCUACGGGAGGCAGCAGUGAGGAAUAUUGGUCAAUGGGCGAGAGCCUGAACCCGCCAAGUAGCGUGAAGGAUGACUGCCCUAUGGGUUGUAAACUUCUUUUAUAAAGGAAUAAAGUCGGGUAUGCAUACCCGUUUGCAUGUACUUUAUGAAUAAGGAUCGGCUAACUCCGUGCCAGCAGCCGCGGUAAUACGGAGGAUCCGAGCGUUAUCCGGAUUUAUUGGGUUUAAAGGGAGCGUAGAUGGAUGUUUAAGUCAGUUGUGAAAGUUUGCGGCCCAACCGUAAAAUUGCAGUUGAUACUGGAUAUCUUGAGUGCAGUUGAGGCAGGCGGAAUUCGUGGUGUAGCGGUGAAAUGCUUAGAUAUCACGAAGAACUCCGAUUGCGAAGGCAGCCUGCUAAGCUGCAACUGACAUUGAGGCUCGAAAGUGUGGGUAUCAAACAGGAUUAGAUACCCUGGUAGUCCACACGGUAAACGAUGAAUACUCGCUGUUUGCGAUAUACAGCAAGCGGCCAAGCGAAAGCGUUAAGUAUUCCACCUGGGGAGUACGCCGGCAACGGUGAAACUCAAAGGAAUUGACGGGGGCCCGCGCAAGCGGAGGAACAUGUGGUUUAAUUCGAUGAUACGCGAGGAACCUUACCCGGGCUUAAAUUGCAGAUGAAUUACGGUGAAAGCCGUAAGCCGCAAGGCAUCUGUGAAGGUGCUGCAUGGUUGUCGUCAGCUCGUGCCGUGAGGUGUCGGCUUAAGUGCCAUAACGAGCGCAACCCUUGUUGUCAGUUACUAACAGGUUCCGCUGAGGACUCUGACAAGACUGCCUUCGUAAGAUGUGAGGAAGGUGGGGAUGACGUCAAAUCAGCACGGCCCUUACGUCCGGGGCUACACACGUGUUACAAUGGGGGGUACAGAGGGCCGCUACCACGCGAGUGGAUGCCAAUCCCAAAAACCUCUCUCAGUUCGGACUGGAGUCUGCAACCCGACUCCACGAAGCUGGAUUCGCUAGUAACCGCGCAUCAGCCACGGCGCGGUGAAUACGUUCCCGGGCCUUGUACACACCGCCCGUCAAGCCAUGGGAGCCGGGGGUACCUGAAGUGCGUAACCGCGAGGAGCGCCCUAGGGUAAAACUGGUGACUGGGGCUAAGUCGUAACAAGGUA
This 1486-nucleotide ribosomal RNA is filed under the name metagenome. RNAcentral describes it as "bacterial SSU rRNA". It matches the Rfam family "Bacterial small subunit ribosomal RNA". The record is from RNAcentral.